This is a long non-coding RNA of Canis lupus familiaris (dog), 3277 nucleotides long. RefSeq lists it as uncharacterized. The record is from RefSeq and is a predicted model, not a curated record. NCBI's taxonomy places the organism in Eukaryota, Metazoa, Chordata, Mammalia, Carnivora, Canidae. The transcript is spliced from 10 exons.
CUCAGACAAAUCUGUUUUUGCCUAAAGUCUGAGAAGACCUAUGUUGGGAGAUAACAGCAUUUGAGGACGUGCUUUAGAAGGUGACAGUUUGAAGUCAUGUUUUCAGCCUUGUUUCACUGAAGAAGAAGAUCUACCUAUUUUGAGCUUUAAGAAGUUUUCUCUCCAUGGAUACGUUUCUUACACUGAGUCCUAUUCUAAAUGCUUACUACAUACUAAUGCAUUUAAUGGUCAUAAAGGAUCCAAAGGAUAUGACCACAAAGAACAGUGGAGAAAAAAGCUUUCGAUGGGCGGUUGUAGUUUAUCAUCAAAAUUCUGGCUUGGAUUUGCCUCCUCAAACAAACUGAGCAAGACCUACAAGGCUCUGGGCAACCAGACACAUUUGAUCUCAGCUGCUGUGCUUAGGUAGAGGUGCUGGUCAGAGUUGAGUUGUCUCCUGUGCAAGUACAGUGGAGACGUGGACUUAGAAUGUUUGCCCGUGGAUCCAUGUGAGGCAAGUAAGAAAAUAUAUUUUAGUACCUUUAUAUCUGAGGCACAAAAGAUUAGAUGGUAAGAAGACAUGUUUCUUCCUAGAAACUAUAGAUUUUGCAACCUAAUUUUGGAAGCAACAUAAACGUUAACAUCUCAAAGAUUGGUCCACAUUUUAAGGUUGGUGAGAAUGAAGGCACAGGAGCAAUUGAAGGUUGUUUGCCUUUUGUUUCACAGUGGAAUGCAAGGGUUAUAUGUAAUUUUAAGAAUAGAAAUAAGUAAUGUGGCUUCCCUGGUUGCUCGGUUUCACAGAGGCAAGCCUGAGACAAAGCUUCACCUCUGCUGCUGUGGGGAGGACAGCUUUGAGGGUGAAGGAGGUAACUGUUGCUCUAUCUAGACACAAAAUGAUGGCCAUCUCUACAAACUCUCUAACCAUGGAGGUGUAAAGAAAGAAUAUUGAACGCAUAUAUAUUGAAGAUAAACAAUGGGAUUUGCAGAAGUUUGUUACGUAAGGGAAAGGAAGAAAGCAGGGGCACCUCCCACAUUUCUGGGUUGACAUACUUGGUGGGUGGGUGGUGGCUCCAACUGCACAGAUAAUGAGGAUUGAGUUGUGAGUUCGGGAAAGAGCAUCGUGAGUUCCAUUUGGAUAUUUUAAAUUAAGGUAUCUAGGAGAUAGUCAAUUGCAGGUGCAAAGUAAGUGGCUGAAUAUAUGAGUGUAGGCCUCAGAUGAGUUGAUAUGAUUGUGAUAAAAUUAUGAGAAUCAUUACAAGUUGUAGAUGUUUCACAUCAUUUAGAGACUGAACAUAGAAGGAAAAAAAAGAGCUCAGAAUUGCUCCAAGAGAAACUUCACUCUGUGAGGGAGAAAAACAUGAGGGCACUAGCAAAUGAAACAAGAAAGUAACCAGUAAGAAGAAAAAAAUAACGGGAAAGAAUGGCAUUAUGGAAGUCAAGAGAAAGAAGCGAUUGGUGGUAUCGGCAUCUCUAGAAAGUUGAAUAAAAGCAGAGACAAGCAUUCACUGUUUUGAGAGAUAAAAAUAUAUCACCUGUGAUUGUGCAAUUGUCAUUUUCAGUGCUUUGCUACAAUGUGUGAUGAAAACUAUACUCAUGACAGAUUCCUAUAAUGAGAGAAAAAAAAAAGAAACAGGCAAGGCAAGACUUCUACACACAAGAAGAAGGUGAAGGUAUCAAGUAAUAAGCUAUAACAUCUACUUCCUCAGAGAGGGCUUGUGAGAUCACUCAGACAAGCUCCAUCACUACUGCGACCUUUCUGGCAAAUCAUUUAAACUCUCUGAAUCAACUUUUCUCCCAGAUGUGAAAUGAAGACAAGGAAAGUUAAUUUUCCAUUGACAUCAUUCAGGUCUCUUACCAACUAUGAUGCAGUAAGCGUCCUUAUACAAACCUCUUUGUGCACAAAUUAACGUUUAUGGAGGGUGGUUUCCUACAUACAGAAUUACCAUAUCCAAAGACAUACUGGUUUCUUUAUUCUGGUGUAAGGACAACUGCCCCAUCUUUCUGACUCAAGCUCAUGCACUCAUGGCUCUUGUAUCUGACUGCAGAGAGGAUGUCCUACCAAUGCAAACUGACACCAAGCAUAGAGUGACCUUGUCUGUACCACGGAACCUACAACAGUCCUGUUCAGAAUCAUUGAGUGAGUAAAUGUAAAUGAGCCGCAAUGUUCCUUCUGCAAUUUUCCAACAGUCAGUCUUAUUUGCAACAACAUCAACUCUACUUAGGAGAAGGUUGCUUUUCCAUGGCAUUUGCAAUUAUUUCUGCACACAGGAAGAGCAUCUCUGUGUGUGCAGGGCAGCCAUGUAGAUUCUAUUCAGUACAUCCUAUGCUGCAAGUAAAAUAAAAUUAUUUCUCACUCUAACCUUGGAAAGCAGAUCUUGGUAAUUCAAAGUCGGCGCCACGAUACUUCCAUGAACACUGGUGAACAGCCCAAGAUUUAUAGUUUCAUCAUGUCAUGCUCAGACUCAUGGAAACUUCAUUUUAGUUAUUUAGAUAAGGAAAACAAAAUUAUUAAUAGCAUUAAUCCAAGAGAAUGAACUGAAUAGUCCCAGAUGAUACAAGAAGCCUAGUAUUUGCUGUUGCAGAAAACAACCAGCAUGGGUUUUGGGAUUUAUAGAGAAAUAUGUUAUGCCUAUAAAUAAUUCCAUAUCAAAAUAACAUAUUCAUAUUUUCACAGACAUAUAUUUUUGUAUAACAACUUACUUGCUUUUAUAAUAUUAGAUCCCCACCUUCAGAUUCUGUGUUAGCAAUCAUAACAUUUGUGCUGUUAGGAUUUGUCUGGAAUCAGUAUUGCCUUUUGCUACAAUGAAACAGGUUCUUGUUGAUUUUCACUAAAAAUAUUGUCCUCCUGUAGAUUGAAAUAUCUUGUCUCUUAGCUUACCACUUCUACUUACUACUUAUGCUUCUGGCUUCACAGGGAGUGUUCCCUGAGUUAUAGUUCAGCAAAUUGCUGUUCACAAAAAUGAAAUCACUAAAGUAAAAAAUGCUUUUCAAAAAAGGAUUGUGGUGGAAAAUUGUGAUGGAAAAGCUGGAGACAAAAUGGUUUAGCAAACACUGUUAUCAUCCUCCUUGUAUUUUGUGUUUUACUUUAAGAAAUGCUUCAUAGAAAAUUGCCCCUCCUUUUCCUUUUUUCCGCAUGUUCACUCUUAGUCCCUAUGCCUCCAAUUACCCAUCAGUAAAUUACCAGAAAUUAAUUUAUAUUAGGAAAUGUUUAUUAUUUUUCCAUUUCUCUUCUUUUCCUCCUCUUCUUUAUUUCUUUUUAAAAAUGUAUUUAUUUGAGAAAGAGAAAGGGAGAGUGCAUGUA